CGUGGCUAACAAAGAAAAUACAUUAUCUUACUGAAACCAUGACAUAUGGUCUCUGUCAUUUUACCAUGCAUGCUUUUUCUUCAUUAAAAAAAACACAACAACCAGGAGGAAAGAAAGAUUGUGUUUUGUAAGGUCACAUUCCACAGGCGGUUGCUCGAAUUAUAUAUUCCUGCCUGGCUCUAUUCAAGCAAUAAACAUUUCUGUAAUUGAAAUUGUAAGCUUUCAGCGGUACCCUGCUCUUCAGCUAACCUAAUGCGCAAGUUCACAAAAUGUGUUAAGAUUAUUUUUUCAAUAUUACAGUAUCAACAGCAAAACAGAUAUUCUCCCCAUAAUUCCAUGAUAGAGCUACAAGUGGAUGUGCAACAAAAUGUCGCAGAGUGAAGCACUCCUCUUCAGUCUCCCAGCAAGUUCAAAAGAGAGACGACAGCUUUGGUGCACUCGGGGAGACACUAAAAUGAUUUUCUAGGACUCCCAAAUCAAUUUCUCCACUUGUGGUCUCUCAGAAACCUCCCACAAACAGCAAGUGAACUGAGUGAAUCCUUUGAACGGAGAUCUGCAAGACUGACAUUGCUCUUUCUACAACAGGAAAACAGGGACAGUUCCAUUAUUCUGUCCCACUCUGAUAUCAUGUAGUGAUGAAGGGCAAGUUUUUUAAUAAAAAAAUUUGCCAGGAGAAGAAGUAGCUCUGCAGUUAACAACAAAAUCAGUACAAGGAGUAAGAAAAAACACCAACAAAAACCACAAAUGUACACAACUUAAGAUGGUAAAACUUAUCUAAUGCCAGAGUGGGAGGUGCUUCGCUCAGCUGAGAACUCAGCCCUGGUUUCCCAGGAAAGUAAACUGAUUAAAAAUAUUCAAAAGAACACUACACUGUUGGACCACAACAAACAUAUAUACAGACAAGAGUAAUAAUAACAGUAGAAGAAAAAAGAAAAGAAAAGAAAAGGGAAAGGGAAACCAACACAAUGACCAAAAAAAUCCUGCCAGCUCAUAUGAGAAUACAGUAACCA
Podarcis raffonei (Aeolian wall lizard) is the source of this 1010-nucleotide long non-coding RNA. RefSeq lists it as uncharacterized. The record is from RefSeq and is a predicted model, not a curated record. The transcript has 6 exons. Lineage: Eukaryota; Metazoa; Chordata; Lepidosauria; Squamata; Lacertidae.